AAUGUGACAUUUUAAUUCGAAAGACUUAAUAAUUCAUAAAUAAAGAUUUACAAAAAUUAAACAUUCAAAAACAUCAAGAGUCGCAGGAAGGGAAAAUAAAAACACAAAAGGAAGGAAAACAUGAAGCAAACAAGCAAAGCAGACAAGGACUACUUAAUGUCAUCGUCAUCACUAAAUAGUCCAGGAGGCCAACGCAUUCUGAUUUCAGUAAGCUUGCAAUCCAGGUGUUGAUGAAAGCUUCAUUUGGUGGACUUCAUGGAUCUCGUAUUUGAAAUACUCCAAAUUUAAAGGUCCUUCUUACUAAGGUGCUUGUUAUUGAGGUAAAGCAUGUUGACACUGAGAGUCUCCCCUUUCUCUGGUGCCUUUCUACACUAGAACUCCAUUGUAGUGGUCAUAUUGCAUCUGACCCAGGUAGUGCAUUAAUAGUUUGAUUGAUUUUUCUAUUGAUUCUUUCUUCCUCUUUUAAAUCAAAUCUAAUAUUUUCCAUAACUUUUGUAACUAAGUGACCAUAUGAAUACCACAUAUUCCUCUUUCUUCGACA
Long non-coding RNA from Vicia villosa (hairy vetch), 541 nucleotides. RefSeq lists it as uncharacterized. The record is from RefSeq and is a predicted model, not a curated record. The transcript has 2 exons. Lineage: Eukaryota; Viridiplantae; Streptophyta; Magnoliopsida; Fabales; Fabaceae.